This 391-nucleotide ribosomal RNA is filed under the name Salmonella enterica subsp. salamae. Its description in RNAcentral is "bacterial SSU rRNA". It matches the Rfam family "Bacterial small subunit ribosomal RNA", at positions 611 to 1001 of the family's 1533-position model. Lineage: Bacteria; Pseudomonadati; Pseudomonadota; Gammaproteobacteria; Enterobacterales; Enterobacteriaceae. The record is from RNAcentral.
AACCUGGGAACUGCAUUCGAAACUGGCAGGCUUGAGUCUUGUAGAGGGGGGUAGAAUUCCAGGUGUAGCGGUGAAAUGCGUAGAGAUCUGGAGGAAUACCGGUGGCGAAGGCGGCCCCCUGGACAAAGACUGACGCUCAGGUGCGAAAGCGUGGGGAGCAAACAGGAUUAGAUACCCUGGUAGUCCACGCCGUAAACGAUGUCUACUUGGAGGUUGUGCCCUUGAGGCGUGGCUUCCGGAGCUAACGCGUUAAGUAGACCGCCUGGGGAGUACGGCCGCAAGGUUAAAACUCAAAUGAAUUGACGGGGGCCCGCACAAGCGGUGGAGCAUGUGGUUUAAUUCGAUGCAACGCGAAGAACCUUACCUGGUCUUGACAUCCACAGAAGUUUGC